This 281-nucleotide long non-coding RNA is filed under the name Homo sapiens (human). RNAcentral's name for it is "HSALNT0077698". Lineage: Eukaryota; Metazoa; Chordata; Mammalia; Primates; Hominidae. The record is from RNAcentral.
CACAGGCCUUGAUCACUAUUUGGCUGUGAGAGUUGAAGAAUUCAUAAAGGACUCCCAGGUUUCAGUCUAGGAGGACAUUCUCUAAAACAGGAUAUAGAAAGAGUUCCAAAAUCUCAAGUACCUGUAUACAUCCAAGAGGGGAUGCCCAAUAAGCAAUCUCUUCACACUCCAGAAAAGCUGGAUUGCAGAAAUACCAAACUGAGUAAGUAGUACAGGGAACAGUUGAAGUGAAGGAAGUAGAUACCAUUGGAUUUGCCUUUAUCCUCUUUUUCAAUGACCAG